This 8529-nucleotide long non-coding RNA is filed under the name Eucalyptus grandis. Its description in RNAcentral is "long non-coding RNA (EGRA_LNC003799)". The record is from RNAcentral. Lineage: Eukaryota; Viridiplantae; Streptophyta; Magnoliopsida; Myrtales; Myrtaceae.
UCGGCGCUUCGACUUCCCACCUUACUCUCCUGCAGUGGCAUCCCCCACUAUGAAGUAGAAGCUCAGAUUCCAUAACAGCACGUCCCAACUCACUGGAGGUUCCAGUGUGCGAUGGCCAGAUGCAAGGAUCUAGAUCGAUCUUCACUGCAGUCAAUAUAUCAUGAUAAGUUAUGAGUUGAUUUAUGAAUGCUCAAUUGAAAAGGAUGUAGUAUUCAUGACAGAAGCAAGAGAUAAAAGGAGGGUACAUGGAGAAGAGCUAUUUUGCUAUAUGCAAAGACAGUUUUCCCAUGAUAUAGCUGUGUUGUUUAGAGCCCAGCAACAGUCUACAAAAGUUGUUACCCUACAUAACUCAUGAUUAGGAGCCAGAGAACUCAAGAAAAACAUUCAAGAGGAAAAUGCAUAACGGAUGGCCUUUGUUCAAUCAAUCAAGGCAAAGCAUAUGUUUAGGUUAUGCUUUUGCCUCAAAUAAAAGGAUUUCAGUGACUGGCUGCAGAUUGUUAGGCUAGGCUAAACUACUGUAAACAAUCUAAGAAAAGAAGUAGAAUUCCAGCAAGGAGUCACCUCCAAAUCUGAAGCUAUGUCAUGGAGACACUAAAGUGGACAAAGCAGUAAUGGCGUGAUCAAAUGCAAAUGCAAGUGAUGUGAAUGUCUACAAACAAUUGUGAGCCCUGAAGAACUCAAAAUGCAUAGAUCCGCCUGAUAAUUGUAGUUUGUUGGAGUUGAAAGGAUACACCUCAACACUACUGCUCCGAUAUGAACACUAAAGAUCUCUUGAUUUUAGAACAACAAUAACCUUGAUGGUGAGGAAAAACUUGAGAAGGAAUUGAACAUUUGAUUCACAACCGUACAUGAUGUGAAAUCGGUUGGUCUCACCCGAUAUGAUUCAUCUAUGCUUAAUUUCAAUUCCAUGCACUCGAGAUCACCGUCAAGGACUCUUUAAUUACUAAAACCGGUUGCCUUCAUCACAUCCAUCUUUUCACUUACUAGGAGAUCGGGAAACAGUAAAUGGGGGGCAUCUCUAUAGGCCCUUUCAGUUAAAACUGAUUCUACCUAGCGAAGUGCAUGACGCUUUAGAAGAGGGCAUGUCGGAUCAUAAUCCCAAUCAAAUACAGAUGCAAGAAGCCACAAUUGCCAAGUUGCUCACUGGCUACAUAGUACCCGAUUGAGCUUUUACAAGAUAGAAUGGCACGAGUUCUUGAAGAACUCAAAAAGUUAAAAAGCAGGGAAAUCGAUUCUGCUGAAGCAAGCGACAAGCAAAAUGAUCUGGGACGUCACCUCCUACAUGGGUCUCGUGAAUAAGGUAAGAGUGGAUGGAUGAGAUGAGACAGAGCAUCUGUUUACCUUUGAGAGUUGAGGAGUUGAGGAGGUGGAGGGAGGGCCGGAGCAGAGCAAGCGCAGGAGAGCAGCCCUUAAAGAGAACUUCCGACCGUCGUCAUUAGGAGGCGAAGUAUGAAUUUACAACAACUCUCUCUGCUUGUUGAUUAAAGAAAUGGGAAAAUCAAGCUAGUGCGGCAAAAAAACAAUUCAAAAAGGGACUGUCACGAGAACUACUGGUCAUCAUCAAUAGAGGAGGGUUGGGAUUGUUCUAUCGCACUUCAGUUUAGGUGAUGACACUCGUUUAGUUUUUGGACAUCCUCAAAAUAGAGAAAUAACAAUGAAAUAUCCAUAAUACCCUCACCGUCUCUUAUCAUAUAAAUUGUAUUUAAAACCAUGGUUCAUGAGUGUCUCGAGACACUAGUUAAAUAUAAUUUAUUUGGAAUAAUUCAAUUUCAAAACUUGGUGCAUAACACGAGGGCGGUCGGUACAUUGAAGACCGUAAAGUUUCCUAAAUUAGUGUUUCUGGACGCUCACCAACAAAAUACUGGUAAAUAUUAUUAUGAUUGUUUAGUUAGAGGAAAAGCGAUAUAAAUAUUUAUUAAAUCUUGACUCACUGUACACUCUUAAUUCGUUUGACAUGAAUCUUUAUAGACCUAAAUCAUUUUAACUUGUAUUGGAUUGAUAUUAUGCUAUUUUAAUUUUCUAAUUUAUAGAAUUAACUAACUUUGCUAAAGAAAACAUAAAAAUGCUAUUUCAAAAUUUUUAUCUAUCUAAAAGAUUAGGGACAUUAUUUAGGUUAACUUACAUAUAAGGAUCUAUACAUAAAUUAAUAUAAUUAUAUUAGAUAUCUUUACAAAAAAAAAAAGGAAAAAAAGACACAUAAUUUCAAAACUUUGAUCCAAUAUUCAAUGUUAUCAUUAAACUUUUAAUUUGUUCAAUCAACCUAGUCCCUCAGCCUUCAGUCUAUUCAAUCUAGUCAGUCCUAGAUGGUAUUCGAAAGUUCACGUAAUUACACUAUUGCCCGUAUUUAUAGCAAAUCUCGCAGGCCAACAUAAUGGGUCCACAAAAUAAAGAGGCCAAAGCCCACCCCAUUACCGAUAUGGGCUGGCCCUCUAGUUCUACCGAAAUAGCCAUGGCAUGUUACUGCACUUUCUUCCGUUUCCGUCGGAAGCUCCAGCGUCGGGUUGAACGAUCGGAAGCAAAAAGAAGAAGGCGGACAGGACAGCGAUGGAGGGAGACGCGCUCGCCGAGUCGCUCAACAGUCUCUUCCUCAACCUCUCCACGAUGGUCACAUCCGAACUCCAGGUACCUCGAUUUUGUUUACUCAUUCACACUGAUCUUUGAUUGAAUCAUGAGGCUUGCAUUUAUGCACUCUGAAUAAGUAAAGACAUGUGGUUAUGAUACGAGCAUGGGCUUAACAGAGGUGAGUUCAGCCAUCAUCUCUUUCUCACCACUUUCAAACUGAAUUAGGUUGCUGGAGUUAAAGUGGAAUCACUCACGAGAGGGAAUUCAUAACCCCAGCAAAUGCGAUAAAUGCAAUCAGCUCUUUGUGUCGCCCGACUUCCAUAGUGAAUUCAUUAUCUGCCUCACCUGCGAAUCCUUUUCUCUAUCCCUAUAAGGAUGAGACCGGUCCAUGGCAGCAAGCAACUCUUUGCCUAAGGAGAGUUCGUUAACCCAUAGAUGAAAACAAUGCAAACUUCGGUACACCCCGUUAAGCAAUUGACUCGGUUCAGGUCCUUAGAUGAAAUCUUAAUAAAAACCCGUUUAGCGAUCAAGAUGUGUCUUUAAACAAUACGCAUGUUAUAAUUAUGUGGUGUAAAUCAAGUUAACUUAUCUUUCACGCUUCAAAUAAGAAAAAGCCAAUCCCAAGGUUAAUGAUAUAUAGAGGGUCCAUUUGUAUGCAUUGUCUCCAUGCAGAAGUGGAGAGAGGUUUCCUCGUCAUGGCAUAGAAGUGAGAGUGAUGUUUGGCAAUUUGCCAAACAUCGAUAAUUUCUGUUCUUUUAUUUUCGGGAGUAGAUUUAGAACAGAAAUUUGUUUCGUAAAAUUUUUAUUCCUAAGAACAAAUUUUUAUUGUUUUGUUCCUGGAAGUAGAUUUCGAAUAAAAUCGAGAAGUAAAAAAAUUUUGAUUGUUUAAUUCCCGGAUUAAUUCUAGAAUAAAGCACCUAUUUUCUCUCUUUUCUUUUUUCUUGUUGUUCAUCCCUCUUUCUUCUUCUUCAACUGCACAUCGUCGUUGCCAUCCACCGUCGUCUGCCGUUCAUCGCUAUCGAUUGCCGGCAACCGAUAGGGUGAGAUCUAGCGAGCUUGUCAGAGGCUCGCCCAGCCAUCAACGUCUCGACCUCGUUAGAUUUGGCGAGAUCAAGCCUCGCCGGUGGCCAGGUGGGCCUCGUCAGGGCCUCUCUCAACCAUCGGUGAGGCUCACCUGGCCAAGCGAGGCUCGGCUGACGAGGCACAGCCUCACCAAGGGCUAGUGAUGCUUUAGUGAGAUUGCCGGCCCUUGUCUAACCGGUUGUCGGUCAUUCCAAGGCCGGCCACCUUGAAGAAGAAGAGGAGGAGAAAGAAAGGGAAAAAAAAAAUUAGAAAUUAAAAAAAAAUGAUUUGAAGUAGAUAUUUUGAGGACGAUACGCAAUUCUAUUCCAAGAAUUGAAAUUUUGGACAGUUACCAAACGGUUUAAAAUAUUUAAAAAUUGUUCUCGAAAACAGAAUAAAAAAUAAUCAAUUUUGAUCAUAAAUCGUUCCCAGGAACAUACAUUUUUGAUCAGAAAUUAUUCCUCGGAAGAGAAGCGUUACCAAACAUAAAGGAGUGCACACAUGGUCCGAGCGAAAUAAGUCACUAUGAAUUUGCUUGCAAAGUGAUCAAAUAUGGGAUGUUCGUUGUGAAAUUUCUCUUACAUGAAAUCUUUUUCCUCUAUGUUAAAACCAUACACGUGAUUUAUAGGAUUCUUAUUCCCUUUAUGGUGGCAAAAUUGGGCCUGCUUGUUAAACGAGUCAAGUUGAUUUUGUAGAUAAUUUGGAGGGUCUUGUCCUAUGGGAGCUCAUAUCUUCAGGCUUUUAUGUUCUUGCUUGUAAAUCUAGUGUUAAGUUUGAAUUUGGAGAGCUCAAGUUGUAAAAACCACCAAUGAGACUAUUGUACAUUGGUUUGAGAACAAUAUGAAAAGAAAGAUGGCUUUGAAUUUAUAUGGUCCUCUGUAUUCCAUUAAUAACAUUCGGAAUACACAUUGACCCAUGUUCGAAUCGUCACGUUAUCACAUGAAGUAUUAUCAGUUGAUAGCUAUGGAUAUACUGAGUGGGUCAGUCUACACGCUCUUUGUGCUUUAGGGCUUUGUUAGGGCAAUGACUUUUUGGAAACAUCUACAAUGAACUUCAUGAUGCUUUUACUAUGCUUUAACAUAUUGGUUCCUUUUAAAAAUGGCUUGCAUAGGUCAAAAUCAAUCUCUUGUUGAAGCUCGUCUUCAAAGUUGCAUCGUUGGUUCUCCUCUAAAUUUGGUAAUGAUGGCAGGGUUAUUUCAAGCUGCUCCGUCCCCUUUAUGGCAGACUCAUGUACUAAAGUCCCCUACAGAUUAAAGAGUUUAUGGAAACUUUUGUUUGAUGACGAGAGGCUCUUGUACAUUUGAUGGACAGAACAUCAUGAGCAAAUUCAGGCUUUAGAUGGAAGUUCUAAUGAUGGUGGUGGAUUUUGACAGCUUUUGGGCAGUUCCUUCUUAUUCUUGAAUCACAAGACGGCAUAAACUGGUUUUAUUUAUUUAUUUAUUCCGUUUGCCCCUCAAAGCAGCUUGGCAAUGCAAUAUUAGGGGAUCAACUAUACUUGUUUGAGGAGUGGCUCGGUCAUUGCCUGUAGAACGUGAAAAUUAACUCAGCAAAGGUGGUUUCUAGAUUUAUUGAUGAUCAUGGUUGGAGUGAUUUCAGUAUAGUUGCUUUUCUGGGGAAAACUAAUGCCUCCGGGGCCUUGAGGACAUUGUGGAUGCUUCAGGACUUAAACUCACUCUUUGGGCUUGUUAAUAAAACCGACUAUUAUCAAACGGUGAAAGGUUGGGCAGUGUUAUCCACUAAGAAGUCCUAUAACUUCAUAAGAUUUUAACUUGAAUAUAGGAGCUUACGCCUGUAAUAGGUAGUUGAAGCGUAACCCCCCCCACCCAAAAAAAAAAAAAAAGGCUUGAGACGGAGAAAUUCAUAAAAUAAAUUUGCAAUAUGAAUUUGUUUGACUCUGUUUUGCAGUGGAAACCUUCUGUUGUAUAUGGUGAAAUGUAGUUCUCUGGCUGCAAUUUCAACGGUCAGGUCUCUGUCUAUGCCUUGCAAACGGUGUACUAACGAGAAACCGAGAGAUGUUCACCAAAUUUCAGUUUCCAUUCAUAACACUUCGUGAUAAUACUUGCACACUUAGACAUGAAAAUCUAAGUAGUCGCAUCUCCAACCCUCCAUAAUGUUUACAUACAAAGACAUUGCAGGUUAGUUGGGUACAUCUGGCGAGAUGUGAGACAAUUUCAGAACAGCAGUUACUCCGGUGAAUAUCUAGAAAGAACAUUGUGAUGGAUGCAAAACAUGCGAAAUCCCAAAAUCUCUAUAACCAGAUCAAGAACAUGUAUAAUUGAGUAAAAAUAUUAACGCACCUAUUUUGGGAUCCAUGGUUCUUGAAGCGGAAGCAGAAAUUUAAUAUUCCACGCACAAGUCAUUCUACUCUGGCUCAAUGAAACGGCCCCUCGCCUUUUAGUGCUAGGUAAACACCCUUAUGUGAGGAUACUUAUGAGAAUUGAGGUUAGAGGAGAGACUUAAGCACUAUUUAUAGAGUUUCCAGCCAAGCUUCUCAUUACGGACCAGGCUUAACUUGGCCUAUACUAGCCAGCCCCAUAUUAAACUAAUUAAGAAAAUCUCACUUUAGACUAACCUCAUUUUACAAUAACCAUAAAACGGUAAAUUACAAUAUCAAUUAAUAUAGUCCACAUUAGAAAAACUGUUGCACCAAUAUCAAUAUCAAUUGUCCAUUGAGUAAAUUACAGCACAAAUUCAAGCAGAAUCGUUUUGCAACUCUAUGCAAGAUUUAGUCCUAGUCUUUCUCCAGCCUCAGUGUCUAGUGGGUUUGAAUGUCAUUGCCAUUUGUAAGGGAAAUUAGACUUCAAUGAGAUACCUUGUCAAGUAUCUCGCUUCGAAGGAAAUUAUACAAUAUUCAGCUCAACAGCCUUAUGACCGGGAAAAAAAAAAUCAACAGCCUACCAGGUAUGAUUCACUGACUGUGAACCAACCAAAGUUUUACAAAAUAGUACAUUUUUGGAACCUCCGGUGUUAAAACGCACAGACUACUCAGAGCUGCAGAGUAUAUUCUUGACAUCAGCAGCAUCAGACCGAUUUUCAGCUGGAGCCUACCUUUGCCUUUUCAGUAUCCAUUUUAGAAUAUGAAGAAAUGCCACUCGAAUCAUAUGAGCUUUCCCAGUUCUGUCCAUCAUAUUGCUUGAUCUCGACAUGAGCCAGAGUACCGGGGUCCACGCACCUAUAAGUAACGGCGAUUCCAUCUGGAUUUGAUCUUGGCUUGUAAAAUGAAGUUAUGCCGCAAACUUUGCAAAAAGUAUGCUUUGCAGUGUGAGUACCGAAAGUGUAGGUUGUGAGGUAUUGGUCCGAAUUUCCCAAAAGUUUAAAUCUUUCAGAAGGGACAACGAAGUUUAUAUUGCCUCUCAUGGAGCAAUCUGAACAGUUGCAUUCCCAAGCAACUACGCUAGUUGGCGCUUCGAUUUCCCACCUUACUUUCCUGCAGUGGCAUCCCCCACUAUGAAGUAGAAGCUCGGAUUCCAUAACAGCACGUCCUAACUCACUGGAGGUGUGAUGGCUAGAUGCAAGGAUCUAGAUCGAUCUUCACUGCAGUCAAUAUAUCAUGAUAAGUUAUAAGUUGAUUUAUGAAUGCUUAAUUGAAAAGGAUGUAGUAUCUCAUGACAGAAACGAGAGAUAAAAGGAGGGUACAUGGAGAAGAGCUAUUUUGGUAUAUGCAAAGACAGCUUUCACACGAUAUAGCUGUGUUGUUUAGCGCCCAGCGACAGUCUACAAAAGUCUCGUGUCAAACAAAUCAAGAAAUAUUUGCAGGUUUACCCGGAUACAAAAUUCGUUACCCUACAUAACUCAUGAUUAAGAGCCAGAGAACUCAAGAAAAACAUUCAAGAGGAAAAUGCAUAAUGGAUGGCAUUUGUUCAACCAAUCAAAGCAAAGCGUAUGUUGGGAUAUCAUGCCCCACGAGUGAGUCGACAAGUGCCCCCUAGGAGGGCAGUCUACCGCAAGAUCUUUGCCUGCUUUCUUUAUGGAAGAGAGGUUCCAGGGGAAUCAAUGCUCUCAGCUGAAACAGGGCUUGAAGCCUUCAGCGACUGGCUGCAGAUUGUUAGGCUAGGCUAAACCAUUGUAAACACUCUAAGAAAAGAAGUAGAAUUCCAACAAGGAGUCACCUCCAAAUCUGAAGCUAAGUCACGGAGACACUAAAGUGGACAAAGCAGUAAUGGCGUGAUCAAAUGCAAAUGCAAGUGGAUGUGAAUGUCUACAACAAUUGUGAGGCCCGAAGAACUCAAAAUGCAUGGAUCCGCCUGAUAAUUGUAGUUUGGAGUUGAAAGGAUAGACUGCAACACUACCGCUCCGAUAUGAACAUUAAAGAUCUCUUAAUUUUAGAACAACAAUAGCCUUAAUGGUGAGGAAAAACUUGAGAAGGAAUUGAACAUUUGAUUCACAGCCAUACAUGAUGUGAAAUCGGUCAGUCUCACUCAAUAUGACUCAUCUAUGCUUAAUUUCAAUUCCAUGUACUCGAGAUCACCGUCAAGGACUCUUUAAUUACUAAAACCGGUUGCCUUCAUCACAUCCAUCUUUUCACUUACAAGGAGAUGGGGAAACGGUAAAUAGGGAGCAUCUCUAUAGACUAUAGGCCCUUUCAGUUAAAACUGAUUCUACCCAGCGAAGCGCAUAUGAUGCUUUGGAGAAGGGCAUGUCGGAUCAUAAUCCCAAUCAAAUACAGAUGCAAGAAGCCACAAUGGCCAAGUUGCUCACUGGCUACGUAGUACCCGAUUGAGCUUUUACAAGAUAGAAUGGCACGAGUUCUUGAAGAACUCAAAAAGUUAAAAAGCAGGGGAAUCGACUCUGCCGAAGCAAGCACCAAGCAAAAUGAUCUGCGAUGUCGUCUCCUACAUGGGUCUCGUGAGUAAGGUAAGGGUGGAUGGAUGAGAUGAGACAGAGCAUCUGCUUUCGUUUACCUUU